GCCGGGCACGGUGGCGGGUGCCUGUAAUCCCAGCUACUCUGGAGGCUGAGGCAGGAGAAUCGCUUGAACCCAGGAGGUGGAAGUUGCAGUGAGCCAAGAUCAUGCUACUGCACUCCAGCCUGGGUGACAGAGCAAGACUCUGUCUCAA
Unclassified non-coding RNA from Macaca fascicularis (crab-eating macaque), 148 nucleotides. It matches the Rfam family "Metazoan signal recognition particle RNA". From Rfam's summary of the family: The signal recognition particle (SRP) is a universally conserved ribonucleoprotein. It is involved in the co-translational targeting of proteins to membranes. The record is from Ensembl. Lineage: Eukaryota; Metazoa; Chordata; Mammalia; Primates; Cercopithecidae.